Molecule: unclassified non-coding RNA, 300 nt
Filed under: uncultured Valsaceae
Lineage: Eukaryota; Fungi; Ascomycota; Sordariomycetes; Diaporthales; Cytosporaceae
Description: sequence contains 5.8S rRNA gene, ITS2
Rfam family: 5.8S ribosomal RNA (bases 1-77)
Source: RNAcentral
GGACAGGUGAGUCAUCGAAUCUUUGAACGCACAUUGCGCCCUCUGGUAUUCCAGAGGGCAUGCCUGUUCGAGCGUCAUUUCAACCCUCAAGCCUGGCUUGGUGUUGGGGCAUUACCUUCCCUCUGGGAGGGUAAGCCCUGAAAUUUAGUGGCGAGCUCGCCAGGACUCCGAGCGUAGUAGUAAAACCCUCGCUUUGGACUGUUCUGGCGCGGCCCUGCCGUAAAACCCCCAACUUCUGAAAAUUUGACCUCGGAUCAGGUAGGAAUACCCGCUGAACUUAAGCAUAUCAAUAAGCGGAGG